GCUGGGCGUGGUGAUGCAUGCCUGUAGUCCCAGCUACUUGGGAGGCUGAGACAGGAGGAUCCUUUGAAGCCAAGAGUCCUGGGCUGAAGUGUGCUAUGCUGAUCUGGUGUCUACACUGAAUUUACCAUCAAAUAUGGUGACCUCCUGGGAGCAGGUUGCCUAAGGAGAGGUAAAUUGUCCCAACUUGGAAACAGUGCAGGUCAGAACUGUGUUGAUCAGUGGUGGGAUCACGCCUGUGAAUAAUCACUGUACUCCAGCCUGGGCAACAUAGUGAAACCCCAGCUCA
RNAcentral lists this signal recognition particle RNA (286 nucleotides) under Saimiri boliviensis boliviensis (Bolivian squirrel monkey). RNAcentral's name for it is "Metazoan signal recognition particle RNA (ENSSBOG00000008904.1)". It matches the Rfam family "Metazoan signal recognition particle RNA". From Rfam's summary of the family: The signal recognition particle (SRP) is a universally conserved ribonucleoprotein. It is involved in the co-translational targeting of proteins to membranes. The record is from RNAcentral. Lineage: Eukaryota; Metazoa; Chordata; Mammalia; Primates; Cebidae.